Transfer RNA from Ipomoea nil (Japanese morning glory), 72 nucleotides. It matches the Rfam family "tRNA". Rfam says of the family: Transfer RNA (tRNA) molecules are approximately 80 nucleotides in length. Their secondary structure includes four short double-helical elements and three loops (D, anti-codon, and T loops). Further hydrogen bonds mediate the characteristic L-shaped molecular structure. tRNAs have two regions of fundamental functional importance: the anti-codon, which is responsible for specific mRNA codon recognition, and the 3' end, to which the tRNAs corresponding amino acid is attached (by aminoacyl-tRNA synthetases). tRNAs cope with the degeneracy of the genetic code in two manners: having more than one tRNA (with a specific anti-codon) for a particular amino acid; and 'wobble' base-pairing, i.e. permitting non-standard base-pairing at the 3rd anti-codon position. Lineage: Eukaryota; Viridiplantae; Streptophyta; Magnoliopsida; Solanales; Convolvulaceae. The record is from Rfam.
GGGUUCAUAGCUUAGUGGUAGAGUAAUUGACUGCAGAUCAAUAGGUCACCGGUUCAAAUUUGGUUGGGCCCU